CGACCCUGGACGCGUUACAUAAACUUUGUUGCCUCAUCUCUGACCCGGAACAAUAAAUCUCUCUCCGGGGCGCGUGUGAAAACUAAAUGAGUUUGCACAGCUAAUGUGCCGUAGUGCAGCCGGGCACAGUGACGUGAAGCUCUGAGUAUACUGUAAGUUGCCAAAUUUCAGAAAAAAGUCAGGGCCCUAGAGCCCAUCUGGUUGACGCCCCCCUUUCUUCAUUUACAGAUGGGACCAAGGCCCCGGGAGGGAAGUCACUUACCAGAGUGCGUGGGUUCUUCAUCCAGAACUCAAGUCUUCUGACUCUUGGGGUACGUGCCGUAGCAUAAGAAUAAUGACAUACAAGGCCUUGGAGCAGAUGCUGUGCUCCAGCUGUGUCCCCUGACCUGUCAUUUCCUGCUGCUUCCUCACAUUUUAGAUGAGAUUCUAGAUAGGAAUUACUUCCUGAGGACAGUUUUUUUCCGUAUCAUUUACUCCCCUCCAGAUAUUUUUUAAAAACCAAGAUGAGCUUAACACUCAGAGGACUUGAAAAAAGAGAGGCACUCAUCCGCCGGCCAGCUCUUUGCUCAGGACAGGAGGUGGGUGGAGAAGACUUG
Molecule: long non-coding RNA, 596 nt
Filed under: Lynx pardinus (Iberian lynx)
Lineage: Eukaryota; Metazoa; Chordata; Mammalia; Carnivora; Felidae
Source: RNAcentral